This 253-nucleotide ribosomal RNA is filed under the name uncultured bacterium. RNAcentral describes it as "partial 16S ribosomal RNA". It matches the Rfam family "Bacterial small subunit ribosomal RNA", at positions 524 to 776 of the family's 1533-position model. The record is from RNAcentral.
UACGUAGGGGCAAGCGUUGUCCGGAUUUAUUGGGCGUAAAGAGCGUGUAGGCGGCCUGACAGGUCUGCUGUGAAAACUCGAGGCUCAACCUCGAGAUGUCGGCGGAAACCGUCUGGCUAGAGUCCGGAAGAGGAGAGUGGAAUUCCUGGUGUAGCGGUGAAAUGCGCAGAUAUCAGGAGGAACACCAAUGGCGAAGGCAGCUCGCUGGGACGUGACUGACGCUGGAGACGCGAAAGCGUGGGGAGCAAACAGG